AUUGAACGCUGGCGGCAGGCCUAACACAUGCAAGUCGAACGGUAACAGGAAGAAGCUUGCUUCUUUGCUGACGAGUGGCGGACGGGUGAGUAAUGUCUGGGAAACUGCCUGAUGGAGGGGGAUAACUACUGGAAACGGUAGCUAAUACCGCAUAACGUCGCAAGACCAAAGAGGGGGACCUUCGGGCCUCUUGCCAUCGGAUGUGCCCAGAUGGGAUUCGCUAGUAGGUGGGGUAACGGCUCACCUAGGCGACGAUCCCUAGCUGGUCUGAGAGGAUGACCAGCCACACUGGAAGUGAGACACGGUCCAGACUCCUACGGGAGGCAGCAGUGGGGAAUAUUGCACAAUGGGCGCAAGCCUGAUGCAGCCAUGCCGCGUGUAUGAAGAAGGCCUUCGGGUUGUAAAGUACUUUCAGCGGGGAGGAAGGGAGUAAAGUUAAUACCUUUGCUCAUUGACGUUACCCGCAGAAGAAGCACCGGCUAACUCCGUG
This 490-nucleotide ribosomal RNA is filed under the name uncultured bacterium. Its description in RNAcentral is "partial 16S ribosomal RNA". It matches the Rfam family "Bacterial small subunit ribosomal RNA", at positions 30 to 507 of the family's 1533-position model. The record is from RNAcentral.